GCCGGCUUAGCUCAGUUGGUAGAGCAGUUGCCUUGUAAGCAUCAGGUCGUUGGUUCGAUUCCGACAGCCGGCACCA
RNAcentral lists this transfer RNA (76 nucleotides) under Rickettsiales bacterium. RNAcentral describes it as "tRNA-Thr". It matches the Rfam family "tRNA". Rfam says of the family: Transfer RNA (tRNA) molecules are approximately 80 nucleotides in length. Their secondary structure includes four short double-helical elements and three loops (D, anti-codon, and T loops). Further hydrogen bonds mediate the characteristic L-shaped molecular structure. tRNAs have two regions of fundamental functional importance: the anti-codon, which is responsible for specific mRNA codon recognition, and the 3' end, to which the tRNAs corresponding amino acid is attached (by aminoacyl-tRNA synthetases). tRNAs cope with the degeneracy of the genetic code in two manners: having more than one tRNA (with a specific anti-codon) for a particular amino acid; and 'wobble' base-pairing, i.e. permitting non-standard base-pairing at the 3rd anti-codon position. The record is from RNAcentral. Lineage: Bacteria; Pseudomonadati; Pseudomonadota; Alphaproteobacteria; Rickettsiales.